This 253-nucleotide ribosomal RNA is filed under the name uncultured bacterium. Its description in RNAcentral is "partial 16S ribosomal RNA". It matches the Rfam family "Bacterial small subunit ribosomal RNA", at positions 524 to 776 of the family's 1533-position model. The record is from RNAcentral.
UACAGAGGGUGCAAGCGUUGUUCGGAAUUAUUGGGCGUAAAGCGCGUGUAGGCGGCUUGGCAAGUCAGAUGUGAAAGCCCAUGGCUCAACCAUGGAAGUGCGUCUGAAACUGCCGAGCUUGAGUACCGGAGAGGAUGGCGGAAUUCCGCAAGUAGAGGUGAAAUUCGUAGAUAUGCGGAGGAACACCGGUGGCGAAGGCGGCCAUCUGGACGGUCACUGACGCUGAGAAGCGAAAGCGUGGGUAGCAAACAGG